AUUUUUGAGGAUGGAUAGGUAAUGUGCUAUCAGCAGUGAGUUCUGUAUUCAGUCUUCUCCUUAACAUGCCCUUUUGCUUGGAAGAACUACUGUACUGGAGGAAGUCAUCAAGAUCAGGCAGAAUUCUUUGUUCCUGAAGAAUGGAACUGAGUUUCUGAAACUCACUUGAAUGUUCUAAAAGAAGAUUUUCUACAUGUGAAAAGACUCCAUUUCAAGAAACAAGCUAAGGAGCUGAGGGGAAGAAAAGGAGUAGCCAUCACCACCUUGCACGACAACUGACAACAGCUUGCAUACCACAUCUUCUGAUGUCGCCUUAUUCCAUAAACCUUCUCUUCAGGCUUUCCAUCACUUUUGUGAUUAGAAUAGCUCUUACUUCAGUCAGAUGGGUGUGACAAAUGGCAUCACUUGGGCUUUGCACCACGUUUGGAGGGAGCUCCCAUGCAGGGAUAUUCCCUGCAAGGCACUCUGAAUUUAUAGCAGUAGGCGCACCCACACCCUGCAGUUAGCCUCCCCUUCUUAUUCAGUCUUACCCAUUCUGUUUUCCUUAGCUACUACUUCCCUGUCGGGCUGCAGCUCUCCAUCUCCCAGACAUGGGCCGUUUGCAGUUGGUGUCUAAAGUUCUGUAAAAAACAGUAUACUGAUUUAAUCUUCAGAGCUUGUGAAUGUCUUUUGUGCUACUGUAAAGAGCACAUGCUCAUUUUGUCUGUAUUGCAAGUGGGCAGUUAUUAAAUGGCUUUCUAACGAUGUA
Molecule: long non-coding RNA, 748 nt
Organism: Pogoniulus pusillus (Red-fronted tinkerbird)
Lineage: Eukaryota; Metazoa; Chordata; Aves; Piciformes; Lybiidae
Exons: 3
Source: RefSeq, a predicted model, not a curated record